This 2317-nucleotide long non-coding RNA is filed under the name Cricetulus griseus (Chinese hamster). RNAcentral's name for it is "lncRNA (ENSCGRG00015033992.1)". Lineage: Eukaryota; Metazoa; Chordata; Mammalia; Rodentia; Cricetidae. The record is from RNAcentral.
UGGCACUUGACUGGUGCCUACAUGUCGGAACAGGAAGUCAAUCAAUGGGCAGGAAGCUAGGGAACAAGCUUGAACAGGCAACAUUAAUCUUGCAGUGAGUGCCAGGCCCGGGGAUAAGAGCUGUGUGGAGCAGCAGGCAGUGGCUGUUCUUUCUCAGGUGGGGUGGGGAAACCGGGACCGAGCAACUCGAAAGUCUAUUGGCUGGAUCACCUACUCACAUCGAGCACCUCUCUCCAUCAAGGCCCAUGCUUAAAUCGAUGCCGAGUCCAGCUCUUCAGACCAGCUUGGUCUCCUUUUCUGUGACCUUGCCAACAACCCCUGCUUCACCUGAGUAGAUAGGUCUACACCGGGAAUCCCUGCGUCCACUUCAGGCACCAGCGUGCUCGCGGUCUCCAGCCACACCCUAUGCUGCUGAGAGAUAGGAGAGAAAGCCAAAGGAACCGCAGCAGCAAGCUCCAGUUUGAGCAUGGUGACACAUGCCUGUGACCACAGCCUUCAGGAAACUGAGAGAGGAGGGUCACCACCUUAAUGCCGGGCUAGAAGACAGAGUGAGCUCAAGAAGCCAGAAGAAGGUGUUGGAUCCCCUGGAACUAAAGUUUCAGACAGUUGUGAGCUGCUAUGUGGGUGCUGGAAAUCGAAUCCCAGCCCCUCUGGAAAAGCAGCCAAUGAACACCUGAGCCAUCUCUCCAGCUAUGCACCCUUCCCCACAGAACUUAAAAGAAAUUUUUUCCACUGGGCUACGGUGGUGCACAGUUUCAAUCCCAGCACUCGGGAGGCAGCUGAGGGUUUAUUGAGCAUGUACUAUAUACCUACCUCUCUGUCUUUGCUGCAACACUAUGAAUUAGAGACAACACUUUCACUCUUAAGGCAGGUGGAUCUCUGGUAGUUCAAGACCAGCCUGGUCUACACAGAGUGCCAGGACAGCCAGGGCUACACAGAGAAACCCAUUUCUCAAGAAACAAAACAAAACAAAAAACCCCAGCCCCUGCCAAAAAACCCCGCUAAUUUGGCACAGAUUUUGAUGAUGGGUGUUACUAACUCUGAGCCAGUUAAGCAAAAUAUUAUCCUCUCCAAGAAUUUCAUUCCUCCUAUUAGUAGGCAAAAAAAAAGUAUUUUUAAGAUUAUGCUAAUUACAUCUUGAAUUUUGUCAGCAUAAAUUUUGUGCAGACAUCAUGUAAGUGCUUACACGGUAAACUCCACUGUACCUUUUAGGGAGCAAGGCUCUGAUAUUUUCUACCUGGCUCUUAACAGAGUGUGGACCUAGAGGCUGCACAGCCACUAUAACUGUGCCAGUUUCCUUUACGGUUAGACAACAUGGCCGGCAGAGGUAUCUGGCAUGGGCCAUGAUGGCAGACAUUGGAUACUGGGUGUGGCUUAUUAGUCAUUACAAAAUGGCUAACACCAGCUGUCCAGAAAACCCCCAAAACAAGCAGUGGCAUACUUUGUUAUGUCACUUUUGUGUGGGUUUUGUGUCGACACGGCCUUGAGGUGGGGUCAAGUGCCUUGGCUUCCCUGACACGAUGGAUUGUAAUCUGAAAUUCUCUCCUCAUUUGUCAGGGUGCCUCGUCAGGGCAAUCAGAAAUGGAAGUAAUGCACAUAUGUUCCCCAGCGGGUUUUAUUGGUAUUUAAGAUUUUAUUUUUAUUUUCUGUGUAUGAAUGUCUGUCAGCAUGUAUGCGUGUGCACCACGCCCGGUGCCCACAGAGGUCAGAAGAUGUCAUCUUAUCUGCUGUGACUGGAACUAGGGGGUGUGAGAGCCGUCACGCGAGGUCCUCAGCAAGAGCGACCAGCGCUCAAGACAUCUUUGCAGCUCCAUUUUCUUUUAAUUUCUGUGCUGCAUUUGGUUUUAAGGGACUGAUAAUGUACAGACCAGGACUUUGUUGUUGUAGUUGUUUCUUCGAGACAGGGGUUUCUCUGUGUAGCCCUGGCUGUCCUGGAACUUGCUCUGUAGACUGACUAAGCUGGCCUUGAACUCCACCUGAUUCAAGAGUGGAACUGUGUUGUUCCUAAUUGAUAGUGUUGCAGCAAAGGCAGAGAGGUAUGUAGUACAUGCUCAAUAAACACUCGCCCACUGAGGAAAUGAAUGAGAACUCGCUCUCACAGCGAAAGUCUGUGCUGUGAUAACCGCUGUCGUGUUAAAAUCUCACACGGAGCUUACAGUGUGCAUGUGUGUGUUUGAGUCUCAGAGACAGUAUGGCCAACUAUGUGACUUUGGGGGAAAAAAAUCUAUACAACUUCUCUGUGUCUUGAGGGUCAGAGCAGCCCCCCUUUUGUAGGUUUGCCUGUAAAUAAAUAAUAUUAGUUCCAUUUUUAAACCCC